CCUACGGGACGCAGCAGUGAGGAAUAUUGGUCAAUGGUCGGGAGACUGAACCAUCCAAGCCGCGUGAGGGAUGAAGGUACAGAGUAUCGUAAACCUCUUUUGUCAGGGAACAAAGGCGGGGACGCGUCCCCGGAUGAGUGUACCUGAAGAAAAAGCAUCGGCUAACUCCGUGCCAGCAGCCGCGGUAAUACGGAGGAUGCGAGCGUUAUCCGGAUUUAUUGGGUUUAAAGGGUGCGCAGGCGGGCUGUUAAGUUAGCGGUAAAAGCCCGGGGCUCAACCCCGGCCCGCCGUUGAAACUGGCAGUCUCGAGUUGGAGAGAAGUAUGCGGAAUGCGCGGUGUAGCGGUGAAAUGCAUAGAUAUCGCGCAGAACUCCGAUUGCGAAGGCAGCAUGCCGGCUCCACACUGACGCUGAGGCACGAAAGCGUGGGUAUCGAACAGGAUUAGAUACCCUAGUAGUC
RNAcentral lists this ribosomal RNA (459 nucleotides) under uncultured bacterium. RNAcentral describes it as "partial 16S ribosomal RNA". It matches the Rfam family "Bacterial small subunit ribosomal RNA", at positions 338 to 795 of the family's 1533-position model. The record is from RNAcentral.